AACAAUACAUCUUUAGAUGGUUCUUGGGGCAAGUAGUCCCCUUGUACUUGUCAAAGUCUGACACCUUGAACUUGGGAGGGGUGAUGAUAUUGGGUACUAGGAACAACUCUUCUAGGUUAGCAAAGGCAUAAUCUUCACUUCCUUCAAUGUCCCUGAGCCUUUCCUCUAGAUGAUCCAACUCUCCCAUUUUUGCCAUAGCAUGAGGGUUUUUACCCGGUGUGGAAUGCAAGGGGUGUGGUUGUGGGUGAUACUGAGGGCCCUCCAAAGUGUUUUGU
This 275-nucleotide unclassified non-coding RNA is filed under the name uncultured bacterium. RNAcentral's name for it is "contains 16S-23S intergenic spacer region". The record is from RNAcentral.